Long non-coding RNA from Culex quinquefasciatus (southern house mosquito), 1122 nucleotides. RefSeq lists it as uncharacterized. NCBI's taxonomy places the organism in Eukaryota, Metazoa, Arthropoda, Insecta, Diptera, Culicidae. The record is from RefSeq and is a predicted model, not a curated record. The transcript is spliced from 5 exons.
UCUAGCAACACUGUUGUGCCGAAAACAACUCACAGGAUUAGUCGACAUUCGCGACAUUCAUGCGCGAACUGUCAAACGAACCUCGAAAAUUUUCACUGUUGUUUUGCACCCUUCGCAACACAUUCACUGUUGUUUUGCACCCUUCGCAACACAUUCGUUACGAGAUUGGAGUGAACUAAAAUUUUAUUUUAACUUUAAAUUGGCCUCAAGAAAAACAAAAUAGGUACCUCCUCAGCUGUACCUUUUUUGUAAGCAAGCAAAAACUGGCGUGCUCCACCAACCCGGUUCCAUCGUGGCAAGUAGCCGUGUGAAAUUUUAUCAAAAUCCUCCCGUACCAGCCGUCGCCGGCAAAAUGCAUAAGAGCAGCAAGCAGUUUACCCGAGCAGCGACUACACAAGACGACGUCACUUGGAAUCAUUACGCGGUGGUAGAUGGGCCUUGUGUUCCAGAGUUGGUCAGCUUCGAGGCAGCCCAAUCCGGAUGGGAGCGAUAAUUAGGUGGCAAGGUACCAGCAGCAACAAAUCCGUUUCAAAUUUCCCGCAUCAAGAUUAGUCCCUCGCGACUGCUGACGUUGUGCCACACUGGCCGUUCGGCCUGCUACCGGCGGAUUCUGCUAAACUUCCGCGAGUCCCAUCGUCCAGUUUCAAGUGCUGGCGGCUUCAAGCCCAACUGGUACAGUUACAUGUUGACAACAAGCUGUCCGAGCUGACUGGUGUGGAUGUCCUCGAACGGAAGCAUCACGAUUCUUCCAGCAUACGAAAUGACACUUCGUUAACAUCUUUUGGAUCAAUGCAUGAAUAUCGAGUCUCUGAGAAAUCAGUCCACCAAAACGCUGACAGCAAUCUGAAUCAUCGAUCAGGACUCAGGCUGCGCGUGGUCACAUGAUCACAUUUUUUUAGCUAGAUUUUCUUAUCGCGUGUGUGGAUCAUCUUCAGAUCAAGUGACACGAAGCACAUGCAAGUUUCAAAUUUGGAAUCCGAUCGCGUUGUUCUGUGUCUGUUCUAACAGAAGCCAAUCAAGGUAACCAAAAUAUUGUGUAAAAUCGUGGCCAAAACAGAAGACAUAAUUCACCCCAUGUAUACCGAUUCAUCCGGUUGCCGGUUUUGAAAAUAGUUAUAAACU